Molecule: ribosomal RNA, 2047 nt
Rfam family: Bacterial large subunit ribosomal RNA
GUGAAAGUUUCCAAGGGCGCAUGGUGGAUGCCUUGGCAACAGGAGCCGAAGAAGGACGUGGGAAUCUGCGAUAAGCCUGGUGGAGUCGAUAACCGGACGUUGAGACCAGGAUUUCCGAAUGGGGAAACCCCGCACGACGUGUCGUGUGACCCCCGGUUGAACACAUAGACCGGGUGGAGGGAACGUGGGGAAGUGAAACAUCUCAGUACCCACAGGAAGAGAAAACAAAAGUGAUUCCGUUAGUAGUGGCGAGCGAACGCGGAUGGGGCUAAACCGUAUGUGUGUGAUACCCGGCAGGGGUUGCAUGUGCGGUGUUGUGGGCCCCUCCUUGUCAUGUCUGCCGGCAUGGCGCAGUGAGGUGCGGGCAUAUAGACGAACCAGUGUGGAUGCUGGACCGUAGAGGGUGAGAGUCCCGUAGUCGAAAUGUGUUCCGCCGCUGUUGGAGGGUUGCCCGAGUAGCACGGGGCCCGAGGAAUCCCGUGUGAAUCUGCCAGGACCACCUGGUAAGCCUGAAUACUACCUGUUGACCGAUAGCGGAUCAGUACCGUGAGGGAAUGGUGAAAAGUACCCCGGGAGGGGAGUGAAAUAGUACCUGAAACCAUGUGCCUACAAACCGUUGGAGCCUCCUUGUGGGGUGACAGCGUGCCUUUUGAAGAAUGAGCCUGCGAGUUAGUGAUACGUGGCGAGGUUAACCCGUGUGGGGAAGCCGUAGCGAAAGCGAGUCUGAAUAGGGCGAUUGAGUCGCGUGUCCUAGACCCGAAGCGGAGUGAUCUACCCAUGGCCAGGUUGAAGCGCGUGUAAGAGCGCGUGGAGGACCGAACCCACUUCAGUUGAAAAUGGAGGGGAUGAGCUGUGGGUAGGGGUGAAAGGCCAAUCAAACUCCGUGAUAGCUGGUUCUCCCCGAAAUGCAUUUAGGUGCAGCGUCACGUGUUUCUUCCCGGAGGUAGAGCUACUGGAUGGACGAUGGGCCCUACAAGGUUACUGACUUCAGCCAAACUCCGAAUGCCGGGAAGUGAGAGCGUGGCAGUGAGACUGUGGGGGAUAAGCUUCAUAGUCGAGAGGGAAACAGCCCAGACCACCGGUUAAGGCCCCUAAGCGUGUGCUAAGUGGGAAAGGAUGUGGAGUUGCUGAGACAACCAGGAGGUUGGCUUAGAAGCAGCCACCCUUGAAAGAGUGCGUAAUAGCUCACUGGUCAAGUGAUUCCGCGCCGACAAUGUAGCGGGGCUCAAGUACACCGCCGAAACCGUGGCAUUCAGUUUUGCUGGAUGGGUAGGGGAGCGUCGUUCACGAGGUGAAGCCAGCGGGUAACUUCUGGUGGAUUGUGGACGAGUGAGAAUGCAGGCAUGAGUAGCGAAAGACGGGUGAGAAACCCGUCCGCCGGAUGACUAAGGGUUCCAGGGUCAAGCUAAUCUGCCCUGGGUAAGUCGGGACCUAAGGCGAGGCCGACAGGCGUAGUCGAUGGACAACGGGUUGAUAUUCCCGUACCAGUGAAGAACCGUCCAUGUUGAGCCGGUGAUACUAACCGCCCGAACCAUCCCGAACCUCGUCUUUGACGGGGUCGGUGAUGGGGAGCGCGGGACCUGAACCGGGGAGGCAAGCGCAUUAACGGGUGUGACGCAGGAAGGUAGCCGGGCCGGGCAAUGGAAAUGACCUGGUCUAAGGGUGUAGGGCUGCUGGUAGGUAAAUCCGCCGGCUGUAUGCCUGAGACCUGAUGGGCGCCCACAUGGUGGGUGAUCCGGUGAUCCUAUGCUGCCUAGAAAAGCAUCGGCGCGAGGUUCAAACUGCCCGUACCCUAAACCGACACAGGUGGUCAGGUAGAGAAUACUAAGGCGAUCGAGAGAAUCAUGGUUAAGGAACUCGGCAAAAUGCCCCCGUAACUUCGGGAGAAGGGGGGCCCCAACCUUGAGCACCACGUGCUGGUGUGAGGGGAUCGGGGCCGCAGAGACCAGGGGGAAGCGACUGUUUAUCAAAAACACAGGUCCAUGCGAAGUCGUAAGACGAUGUAUAUGGACUGACUCCUGCCCGGUGCUGGAAGGUUAAGGGGACC